AAAGUAUGCUAUCAAAUGUUCCAUUUUAUUUUAUUUUU
This 38-nucleotide small RNA is filed under the name Arabidopsis thaliana (thale cress). RNAcentral's name for it is "ATSL250420". Lineage: Eukaryota; Viridiplantae; Streptophyta; Magnoliopsida; Brassicales; Brassicaceae. The record is from RNAcentral.